This 396-nucleotide long non-coding RNA is filed under the name Monodelphis domestica (gray short-tailed opossum). RNAcentral describes it as "lncRNA (ENSMODG00000050339.1)". Lineage: Eukaryota; Metazoa; Chordata; Mammalia; Didelphimorphia; Didelphidae. The record is from RNAcentral.
AUUAACAGUACAUACAGUAGAUACGACAUGAUCCAGUAUGAACUUUUCCCCAUCAUUCAUGGAGGAUUGUAUGCUGACUAUAAUGUAUGCUGAAAUAAUAAUUGGCCAUUGCAACAUUACUCAUCUGCUGACUGCGUGGGUGCCAUGUUGCAAGGCAGUUUCUCAGUGAGCAAAGGGAAGGAGAACAAGAAUGGAUCAAAGGAUUGGUGUUAAAAGAAUUGCUUCAGACAUGAGAGGCAUAACAGUCAUGCUGUAACCAGGCAACCAGGGUAAUCUGUGAAACUAAGGGAAGGCAGAUGGCAUGUGUAGACACAAGGAACUGCUUCUUCUUAACUUUAGACCAUACUGGCAAUCGGACCAACUUUCUCAAGCUGCCAUGUCAGAGUGAACCAGUGA